RNAcentral lists this ribosomal RNA (484 nucleotides) under uncultured bacterium. Its description in RNAcentral is "partial 16S ribosomal RNA". It matches the Rfam family "Bacterial small subunit ribosomal RNA", at positions 30 to 507 of the family's 1533-position model. The record is from RNAcentral.
AUUGAACGCUGGCGGCAGGCCUAACACAUGCAAGUCGAGCGGAUGAAGGGAGCUUGCUCCUGGAUUCAGCGGCGGACGGGUGAGUAAUGCCUAGGAAUCUGCCUGGUAGUGGGGGAUAACGUCCGGAAACGGGCGCUAAUACCGCAUACGUCCUGAGGGAGAAAGUGGGGGAUCUUCGGACCUCACGCUAUCAGAUGAGCCUAGGUCGGAUUAGCUAGUUGGUGGGGUAAAGGCCUACCAAGGCGACGAUCCGUAACUGGACUGAGAGGAUGAUCAGUCACACUGGAACUGAGACACGGUCCAGACUCAUACGGGAGGCAGCAGUGGGGAAUAUUGGACAAUGGGCGAACGCCUGCUACAGACAUGCCGCGUGUGUGAAGAAAGUCUUCGGAUUGUAAAGCUCUUUAAGUUGGGAGGAAGGGCAGUAAGUUCAUACCUUGCUGUUUUGACGUUACCAACAGAAUAAGCACCGGCUAACUUCGUG